RNAcentral lists this ribosomal RNA (804 nucleotides) under Pythium oligandrum. Its description in RNAcentral is "eukaryotic LSU rRNA". The stretch from base 188 to 342 matches the Rfam family "5.8S ribosomal RNA". The record is from RNAcentral. Lineage: Eukaryota; Oomycota; Peronosporomycetes; Pythiales; Pythiaceae.
CCACACCUAAAAACUUUCCACGUGAACCGUUAUAACUAUGUUCUGUGCUUCGUCGCAAGACUUGAGGCUGAACGAAGGUGAGUCUGCGUCUAUUUUGGAUGCGGAUUUGCUGAUGUUAUUUUAAACACCUAUUACUUAAUACUGAACUAUACUCCGAAUACGAAAGUUUUUGGUUUUAACAAUUAACAACUUUCAGCAGUGGAUGUCUAGGCUCGCACAUCGAUGAAGAACGCUGCGAACUGCGAUACGUAAUGCGAAUUGCAGAAUUCAGUGAGUCAUCGAAAUUUUGAACGCAUAUUGCACUUUCGGGUUAUGCCUGGAAGUAUGCCUGUAUCAGUGUCCGUACAUCAAACUUGCCUUUCUUUUUUUGUGUAGUCAAAAUUAGAGAUGGCAGAAUGUGAGGUGUCUCGCGCUGUCUUUUUAAAGAUGGUUCGAGUCCCUUUAAAUGUACGUUGAUUCUUUCUUGUGUCUGCGAAUUGCGAUGCUAUGCUCUUUGUGAUCGGUUUAGAUUGCUUUGCGCUGGUGGGCGACUUCGGUUAGGACAUAUGGAAGCAACCUCAAUUGGCGGUAUGUUCGGCUUUGCCUGACGUUAAGCUAAGCGAGUGUGGUUUUCUGUCUUUUCCUUGAGGUGUACCUGUCGUGUGUGAGGUUGAUUUAGGCUAUAUGGUUGCUUGGUUGUGUGGUUUAGCGUUUUCAGACGCCUGCUUCGGUAGGUAAAGGAGACAACACCAAUUUGGGACUGAGAGUUUACUCUCUUUUUCACUUUGGACCUGAUAUCAGGUAAGACUACCCGCUGAACUUAAG